Molecule: non-coding RNA, 1334 nt
Organism: Rattus norvegicus (Norway rat)
Lineage: Eukaryota; Metazoa; Chordata; Mammalia; Rodentia; Muridae
Source: RefSeq, a predicted model, not a curated record
UUUACUAAUAUUCUCUAAUUCAUAGCAAAUUGGGGUGUGAUAACAAACAGAUUGAAGAGAUUAUAAAUGGGGAGAAGGAAGCUGGCUUUCUGUCUUGGUAUAAAAAAUAAUGAAGAAAUAUGUGGUCCUUUGGAAAGCUCAUUGAGUCCUUGGCAACCACUAAUGAAGCACAAAGAACUCUCUAAUUUUAGAGUGAUGUAGUAAGGAAAGGUUUCCACAGCGUUACAGGAGACUAUCCUUGAAAGAGCACCGCCAAAUCUGGUCAAUGUAAAGAUAGCUUUUUAGCAGAACCAGAAUUUUACCACAGAUAUACUUUCGGAGUGCGAGCCACUGUUCAGUGCUUUCCUGCUUGGCUUGCUUCAUCCAGUGCCUGUGCUGGUACUGUGACACAAGAAGAGCCUCUUGUCAUCCAUUAAAUGCUGCCUGGCAAAUCCUCUACGACUUUCUUCACCAGGACAUUUCCAGCCCUUUACAGCUCUCACAAAGUUAGGCUGAGGUCUCCGAUCUAAGCCCUUACUACUGCAAUCUGUUGCCCUGGACUCUGCCAUCCCUGCUGCUGGUUCUGCUGAGGCUCCAGAACCUGGUCAACUCAGAUUAGCCUUGAAUACAGUUUUAAUCUCAUUACAAUUAGCAGUUUUUAUCAGUAAGACUUGCAGUCAGUUGGUAAAACUUGAGAUCCUAUUUCAAUCCUGUCUGUUGCUCAGUGGCUUUAACUUAUGAGUGCCUUGGGUUUUAAUUCAGUGGUUUAGAGUGUUUUUUUGUUUUUGAAGUUUUUUUUUUCUUGUUUUUUCUUGGGGGUGCUGGGGAGGUUGAAAUUUCCUUGUUUAUUAAUGAGGUUAAGAAAUGGUUAGGUGCACAAGAAUCCCUCUCUCAACCAAGUAUAUUUUUAAUCAUUUUCUUUGACGAACUUGUAAGAAUUGUCUACAGCCCACUUAACUGCAAAUUGAGUUCUCUCAUCGCUCCACUUUCUCAUCUCCAUGGCAUUCUGCUAUGACUUGCUACUGCUCUUCUGUUGGAAGUAGGAAAAAAAAAAGCUUUUAAGUUCAGAACCACAUACAGACACACCUUUUUGAAUUUUUAACAUUUUCCCAAGAACUGUAAAUCAGUGAUUUCCCAUCCUUGUACUAAAACACAUUCCUUCUUUGUCUGUUGAGAAAAGGGCAUCAGCCCACACCUUACACAGUGCAAAGAGCUGUGACUCAUGCAGAUUAGUAACGUGCUUUUUAAAUACUCACGUAAAUUGUUCUCAGUAACCUUUUCUGUGUGGCUCUACUGGGAGAUAUAUUCUGAAGUGCGAAACUGUUGGUCUAACAUGUAUCUGACGCCAUGUCAGA